Molecule: ribosomal RNA, 332 nt
Filed under: uncultured bacterium
Lineage: Bacteria
Description: bacterial SSU rRNA
Rfam family: Bacterial small subunit ribosomal RNA
Source: RNAcentral
GACGAACGCUAGCGACAGGCUUAACACAUGCAAGUCGAGGGGCAGCGAGGGCGUAGCAAUACGCCUGUCGGCGACCGGCGCACUGGUGAGUAACACGUAUGCGACCUGCCCCCUACAGGGGGUAUAACCCCGUAGAAAUGCGGACUAAUCCCCCAUAGUCCUGGAGGCUGCAUGGCAUUCAGGGGAAAGGCCAGCCGGUAGGGGAUGGGCAUGCGGCGCAUUAGCUAGUUGGCGGGGGCAAACGGGCCCACCAAGGCGACGAUGCGUAGGGGUUCUGAGAGGAAGGUCCCCCCANACUGGUACUGAGACACGGACCCAGGACUCCUACGGGA